RNAcentral lists this ribosomal RNA (497 nucleotides) under uncultured bacterium. RNAcentral's name for it is "partial 16S ribosomal RNA". It matches the Rfam family "Bacterial small subunit ribosomal RNA", at positions 28 to 507 of the family's 1533-position model. The record is from RNAcentral.
GACGAACGCUGGCGGCGUGCCUAAUACAUGCAAGUAGAACGCUGAAGAGAGGAGCUUGCUCUUCUUGGAUGAGUUGCGAACGGGUGAGUAACGCGUAGGUAACCUGCCUGGUAGCGGGGGAUAACUAUUGGAAACGAUAGCUAAUACCGCAUAAAAUGGAUUAUCGCAUGAUAAUCCAUUGAAAGGUGCAAAUGCAUCACUACCAGAUGGACCUGCGUUGUAUUAGCUAGUUGGUGGGGUAACGGCUCACCAAGGCGACGAUACAUAGCCGACCUGAGAGGGUGAUCGGCCACACUGGAACUGAGACACGGUCCAGACUCCUACGGGAGGCAGCAGUAGGGAAUCUUCGGCAAUGGACGGAAGUCUGACCGAGCAACGCCGCGUGAGUGAAGAAGGGUUUCGGAUCGUAAAGCUCUGUUGUAAGAGAAGAACGAGUGUGAGAGUGGAAAGUUCACACUGUGACGGUAUCUUACCAGAAAGGGACGGCUAACUACGUG